GUCCAAUGCCUAUUCAUAUGUACCAAAAGUGAUAAAAUCAUCCCCUAUUUUCGAGGAUAAUAUUCAGUUGCCCAUUGUUCCACAAUUGCAAAAGGCUCCCAAGAAUAUUGCCUCUCAGAGCUGCAACAAUGUUUAAAGUAUUGGUCCCCACCAUGCUUAACAAGCAAGGCGCUCAAUUGUCGUGAUCGUUGCUUUACUUGUUAUGUCUAGGACAUGGAUCUCAGACCGCAUAGCAUCUUUGAAUGGAACUACUGUAAAAUGUGCUGGAGCAGGAUAAAAUAGCUUUUAUGAGAUUGAUCAGCAUUAGCUAGCGUUCUUCAAAGUGCUACAAAGUCUAUUGUUAUGCCCUCACUCAAGCAUGUUUUAUGUGUUGUUUGGAGUUCCUUUUGUCAUUUAUCAUUCAAUCUUUCCUUUUUUCCAAUUAAUUUGGAACAAGGGUAGCCAUUGCUACCUUCAUGCAAUUCACAUGUACUAAUUACUAUACAAAUCUCAUACUACUGAUUCCUCUG
Long non-coding RNA from Dioscorea cayenensis subsp. rotundata (Guinea yam), 509 nucleotides. RefSeq lists it as uncharacterized. The transcript is spliced from 3 exons. The record is from RefSeq and is a predicted model, not a curated record. NCBI's taxonomy places the organism in Eukaryota, Viridiplantae, Streptophyta, Magnoliopsida, Dioscoreales, Dioscoreaceae.